ACCGGUGGAUGCGUGAUGUGUUCCGUGGCCGACAUACCAGGAGCCAUCAGAUGUCCUACUGCCGUGUGCGGGUCCCGUUCCAUCGUCCCUCGGACGCUCUGGAAAUCGAUACAUCUCAGCUGGUCAGCGACCUGCUAGUUAAAAAUUUCUUCGCGCCGCCUGUGAGUCUGCCCGGACGUCUGACGACGACGGGAAACGUGCUCUCGCAGGAGGUCUGCGGGCCACCCAUGCCCACGGACAGUCUGGCGUAAGAGAUCCUCUAUACCAACUCCCGGACCCCUUGUCUAUGUGUACUCUCGUUUCCUCGGCGGGCUCGCCCGCCAACGGGGACAAACAAACCCAUUUUUGCAGUGGAAGUCUCUGUCUGAACAAUACAAACCUUAUUAAAACUUUCAACAACGGAUCUCUUGGUUCUGGCAUCGAUGAAGAACGCAGCGAAAUGCGAUAAGUAGUGUGAAUUGCAGAAUUCAGUGAAUCAUCGAAUCUUUGAACGCACAUUGCGCCCUUUGGUAUUCCAUAGGGCAUGCCUGUUCGAGCGUCGUCUCAAGCCUUCAAGCCUAGCUUGGUGUUGGGUGACUGUCCCGCCUCGCCGCGUGGACUCGCCUCAAAGUCAUUGGCAGCAGACUCGGUAGCUAAUUGCGCAGCACAUCGCGCCAGAGGCUCCGGGCCCGCUCUCCACGAGCACAGUCUCAUCAGUUUGACCUCGGAUCAGGUAGGGAUACCCGCUGAACUUAA
Molecule: unclassified non-coding RNA, 735 nt
Filed under: Ascomycota sp. F41 JA-2017
Lineage: Eukaryota; Fungi; Ascomycota
Description: sequence contains ITS1, 5.8S rRNA gene and ITS2
Rfam family: 5.8S ribosomal RNA (bases 388-541)
Source: RNAcentral